AUCCCCAGCAGUGGGCAAAAGACACCUUGUUGGUGGUGGUGUUCUUAUAUCAGUCAGGGACAGAGCAGAUGGCAGUCCUUCGUUCAUCCUAGCUUGAUGACUGGCUUUGGUGGCCAAAGCUGUCUUAUGCCUAGGAGUCAUAA
RNAcentral lists this small nucleolar RNA (143 nucleotides) under Mus musculus (house mouse). Its description in RNAcentral is "Small nucleolar RNA SNORA48". It matches the Rfam family "Small nucleolar RNA SNORA48". Rfam says of the family: The snoRNA ACA 48 has been identified to guide pseudouridylation of the residue U3797 in the 28S rRNA subunit. Its host gene EIF4A1 (eukaryotic translation initiation factor 4A1) is shared with U67 and snoRNA mgU6-77 The record is from Rfam by way of RNAcentral. Lineage: Eukaryota; Metazoa; Chordata; Mammalia; Rodentia; Muridae.